GAUGAAAGGGACAGGUAAAUGCUAAAGAAGGCUCUACGUGGUGUUCGUGCAGUAAUAUGCCCAAAUGAAGGUUUUGUAUCAAAUAUAGAGAGUUGGAAAGGUUUACAACAUGUGAUCCUAUUAUCUCAGAGGUUCUAGCGGGGUUCAAGCAAUUGUUACUGCCAAUGCAAGAAAACAGGCAGAACAAGAUGAAUCACUGGUUCUGGCUUCAGGAAUCCCUUACACCAUUAUUAGAACUGGCUUGUUGGUAAAUGCACCGGGUGGAAAUCAAGGUUUCAACUUUAAAGAGGGCUGUGCAUCACAAGGAAAGCUGAGCAAGGAGGAUGCCGCUUUUAUCUGUGUAGAGGCUCUUGACACUGUGCCAA
Capsicum annuum is the source of this 365-nucleotide long non-coding RNA. RefSeq lists it as uncharacterized. The transcript is spliced from 4 exons. The record is from RefSeq and is a predicted model, not a curated record. NCBI's taxonomy places the organism in Eukaryota, Viridiplantae, Streptophyta, Magnoliopsida, Solanales, Solanaceae.